UCUUUGACCAUCAACAUGUUGAAUGCAAUGAAUGUAGUCGUUCAUAGAAGAUAGGUCAUUAAUAUACAGUGCUCAUUCAUGACGUAUAUAAAAGAGUGGUUCUAGGAAAGUUAACAAUGCAUUCAAACAAAGUCUUCAUUGAAACAGGUGUUUGCAUUGGUUGAGUGGGAUUUGAUAGGUUUGUGGGUUAGUAGAGUGGUACAAGAGUGAAUUUGGUACUUUAUUUUUCAUGUCAGGUUAGUAUUCAGUGACUUUCAU
RNAcentral lists this long non-coding RNA (258 nucleotides) under Phaseolus vulgaris (common bean). RNAcentral's name for it is "long non-coding RNA (PVUL_LNC001070)". The record is from RNAcentral. Lineage: Eukaryota; Viridiplantae; Streptophyta; Magnoliopsida; Fabales; Fabaceae.